GCUGGGCACGGUGGCUCAUGCCUGUAAUCCCAGCACUUUGGGAGGCUGAGGCGGGUGGAUCACCUGAGGUCAGGAGUUCAAGACCAGCCUGGCCAACAUGGUGAAACCCCGUCUCUA
Molecule: non-coding RNA, 117 nt
Filed under: Pan paniscus (pygmy chimpanzee)
Lineage: Eukaryota; Metazoa; Chordata; Mammalia; Primates; Hominidae
Also listed under: 1 other name
Source: Rfam by way of RNAcentral